Molecule: small nuclear RNA, 96 nt
Filed under: Pan troglodytes (chimpanzee)
Lineage: Eukaryota; Metazoa; Chordata; Mammalia; Primates; Hominidae
Source: RNAcentral
CCUGUCUCCGAGAGGAAAAAAAAAAAAAAAAAAAAAAGAUUAAAAUGGCCCCUGCACAAGGAUGACAUGCAAAUUCAUCAAGCAUUCCAUAUAAGA